UUUCUCCGCAGAAAUUUCUCAGUUUCUGAUUGAUGACAUCUUUGGUGCAGCCUAGGAUUUUUCUUAGUUAGCUGAAUCCUCUUGACUUUUGUACUUAUGGCUUUCAUUCCCAGUCUGUAUCUCCAGUCAUGGAGAUAAUCCAGUUCAUUUGCCAUGAUAUCUCAUUUCUGCUCCUUAUUGACAAUGGUCCUAACUUUGUUUUAGCAGUGCUCAUCUGUUCCUCGUGCCAGGGCAAUACAAAGAAAGUACUAAAAAGAUGGGUUUCAAGAAUAAAGUUGAUUCUUCCAUUUCAGAGCAUGAAAUAUGUACAUUAUGCAGCAGGCAACGAUGCACAUGGACACAUUCCUAAUGUUGUGGGGGAAGCUCACAGGUUUUCUCUUAAUGGAGGAUGGAGAAUUGAUGUUUUCCUUGUGGGUGAAAGUGCAGUAAGUGAUGUCAUUACCCAUUUGUAGUACCUUAUCUGAAACUUUGGCCAGAAAAGCUGGAUUUUGCUUUUUCCCUGUUUUUAAAAGACAGGGAAUGUGGAGCUGAGGCUGAGCUGCCCCUGAGACAGGCCCAGCUCUGUGCCUGCUUUGCAGGGCUGCAGGUAAACAGGGGAAUCCAUCCUGCUCCUGGAUGCUCUAGCCAGCAAUGUCCAACCUUGCAGUGAGGAAGAAAUGUUCAAUGAUAAAGUGGUGAUGUAAGGGAAGAAUGGGGAAAAGAAUCUCCUUCCCAAAAUUUAACACAUUAUUGCAGGUUUGUAUUUUGGGUAGUCUGGCC
This 759-nucleotide long non-coding RNA is filed under the name Parus major (Great Tit). RNAcentral describes it as "lncRNA (ENSPMJG00000003480.1)". Lineage: Eukaryota; Metazoa; Chordata; Aves; Passeriformes; Paridae. The record is from RNAcentral.